Long non-coding RNA from Oncorhynchus kisutch (coho salmon), 2578 nucleotides. RefSeq lists it as uncharacterized. The record is from RefSeq and is a predicted model, not a curated record. Lineage: Eukaryota; Metazoa; Chordata; Actinopteri; Salmoniformes; Salmonidae. The transcript is spliced from 2 exons.
CAAAAAAGCUUAGAGGAUGAUUGCAAGGGAGACUUUCAUGGAGAGGGAGAGACUUAGAAAGUACGUGCCUAGAUUGCCUGACAGAAGGUAGAGACUGGCCUGGAGAGGGAGAGACUGAGAAAGUACGUGCCUAGAUUGCCUGACAGAAGGUAGAGACUGGCAUGGAGAGGGAGAGACUGAGAAAGUACGUGCCUAGAUUGCCUGACAGAAGGUAGAGACUGGCAUGGAGAGGGAGAGACUGAGAAAGUACGUGCCUAGAUUGCCUGGCAGAAGGUAGAGACUGGCAUGGAGAGGGAGAGACCUAGAUUGCCUGACAGAAGGUAGAGACUGGCCUGGAGAGGGAGAGACCUAGAUUGCCUGACAGAAGGUAGAGACUGGCAUGGAGAGGGAGAGACCUAGAUUGCCUGACAGAAGGUAGAGUCUGGCAUGGAGAGGGAGAGACCUAGAUUGCCUGACAGAAGGUAGAGACUGGCCUGGAGAGGGAGAGUCCUAGAUUGCCUGACAGAAGGUAGAGGCCUAAAAUGAGGUUGGUAGUAAAGAGAGGGAACACAUGGGAAGUGAGAACUGAUGGGAAGAAGCCAGACUAAGAAUAAUGUACUUAGGACAAGAGAUAGAGUGGGAUAAAGACUCAGGUAGGAUAAGGAUGACAGGACUAAAUAAUGAAAUAUAUUACACAGGAUGGACCCAAAAGAACGGAUUCAUGGAGCCCUCGGUGCACCGGGUGUGACAGGGGCACCUAUGGAGAGUUGACUAGGCAGUCGGCCUCAGGGACUAAAAUAACAAGUCCCUUUUGUAAGCAUUGCUUCUGCAACAUGACCUGUCAUAGAGAUAAGGGCAUAUGGUAUCGGGAGGAAGAAGAAGAAGCUUGGCCCUUUGAAAGCACAUUUACGCAGCUUAUGCUAGGAGGUAGAACAGUAGCUAAAGGGCUUACCAGAGACUGGAGGUUUGUAAAGAGCAGGCACCUCAUAGAUAGGGAGGAGAAACAGACAGGACCAGUAUGGGAUGGUACAGGCACAGGAUGGGAAGGCUCUAGCAAUAAAAUAUUUAGGCAACGAGGAAAAGCAGGAAAAGAGUCAAGGGAAGAUCUUGGAGAGGGGGGGGGGGGCAAAAGGCAAAAAAGAACAGACCCCUCCCUCAGUGGCCGGUCCAGUUCCAGGGCCACAUUCAUGGGCUCUAAGGCCAUCUGUUGACUGGGGGAUAAAAUAAGAAAUCGCCACAACAGCAGGUGACCAGCAGAGGGAGCCAAAUGCAUGGGAAAUACAAGUACUGGGAAUUAAACAAGAACCAACCUACAGGGAGACUGAGGAGGAGUGGUAUGAACCGACCUACAGGGAGACUGAGGAGGAGUGGUAUGAACCGACCUACAGGGAGACUGAGGAGGAGUGGUAUGAACCGACCUACAGGGAGACUGAGGAGGAGUGGUAUGAACCAACCUACCAAGACAACGCCCCAACGCAUGAAUACCUAUGGGCAUCAGUGCUGAAGGAACUAACAUUGGACUAAGUGCUACUUAAUACGUAAUGUAAUGGCACACUGUGUUAAGAUAGAUUCUACUCCCGAACAUCUUCCCCCAAACGGAGUGUCUAAAAGAGGUAUAAAAGGAGGAUAGAUCAGUGCCAAGGCAUGAUCCUCAACCUAUAUGAUUUGGACAUCAGAGAAUCAUCAGACCAGGUAAAUUACUUGUACUAUACUCUGUUUGUAUUGACUACUUUGAUCUCAAGGCGCGAGCAAACUAUUGACUGGUAUAUCUUAAAUAAUUGUGUUGUACACUGGAAUCUCACACCUUAUAAAAAGAAUAAGUGAACGAGUUUGUGUACAAGAGGACUUCAACCCUCAACAGCGCGAGGCGCGGACAAAUCUAGAUAGCAACAACGUUCCAUCUUUGGUGUGUCAGUAACAAUCGCAGUUCGGCAAGAUUGGAAAAGCCCAGAAAUAGUUAAAGCCUCGUAGUAGCCAAGAGUCGAUAAAAAGCAAUCAAUUACUAAACAGUAGGCAGUAAAAACCAUUCGGACUAAAUAAGAAGAUUAUAGUCGUAUAAACAGCAGAGGUCAAAAUAUUACUACUCUUAUAAAGAGCAGUUUCGGGAAGGACCAAGGGAACAGAGCGUCAAGGUAAAUAUAUGGGUGUUUGCUUUGUUUAAAGAGUCAUAAAGAAGUGUGUUAAGCUUUUUACCUUUGCAGAUAUGACUUGGCAUAGUACAGCACAUAGCAUAGCACAUAGCAUAGCACAUAGUACAGCACAUAGCAUAGCACAUAGUAUAGCACAUAGCAUAGCACAUAGCACAUAGUAUAGCACAUAGCAUAGCACAUAGCAUAGCACAUAGUAUAGCACAUAGCACAUAGCAUAGCACAUAGUACAGCGCAUUAAGGAUUGAUUGAGCAUUAUUGAUGUAUUAGGAAACUGUAGAACCAUUGAAUUGUAAUAACGUGUAUAAAGACAAAAAACAGAGUGACUUAAUAAAAGCUUGAAACUUUGACAACUAGGCCAGAUUAACGAUCUGGAGAGCAAACGCCUUUGACACUCUCACUGAACAGAAAGUGACCCUGGUUAUAGGUUAAAGUGAUUGCACUAAAGAAUA